UGCCAGCAGCCGCGGUAAGACGAACCGUGCGAACGUUGUUCGGAAUCACUGGGCUUAAGGGGCGCGUAGGCGGUCGGGCAAGUCCGGGGUGAAAUCCUGCAGCUUAACUGUAGAAGUGCCUUGGAUACUGCUCGGCUCGAGGGAGGUAGGGGUCUGUGGAACUUCUGGUGGAGCGGUGAAAUGCGCUGAUAUCAGAAGGAACGCCGGUGGCGAAAGCGGCAGACUGGACCUCUUCUAACGCUGAGGCGCGAAAGCUAGGGGAGCAAACGGGAUUAGAUACCCCGGUAGUCCUAGCCCUAAACGAUGAGCACUAGAUUGCAGACUAGUCAUGGGUUUGCAGUCGAAGCAAAAGUGUUAAGUGCUCCGCCUGAGGAGUAUGGUCGCAAGGCUGAAACUCAAAGGAAUUGACGGGGGCCCGCACAAG
Molecule: ribosomal RNA, 424 nt
Filed under: uncultured bacterium
Lineage: Bacteria
Description: bacterial SSU rRNA
Rfam family: Bacterial small subunit ribosomal RNA
Source: RNAcentral